CCUUCAGUGGGUGGCUUAAGUUGGUGGCAUUUGGUUGCCUUUCCUGGGGAGAGGCGGCAGGUGCUCAGCUCUGCAGACGUGGGGGCAAGAGAAGGCCCAAGCUGCCUCGAGAAGAGCAGAGGUGCCCCAUGGGGACCAUGAUGACCGGUCGCAUGUGCCAAAGCCAGCCCCCGGCAGGGCCAGCGCAGGGUUUCUGCGGGGCCGUCCUGUGGCUCUGAUAUCUAUGAGUGGGUGGCCAGCAAAGGCACAGGCACCAGCAGAAAGGAGCAGAGAUGCCCAGAACAUGCUGUCCCCCAAUGCCAGCCCCAAGCGAGGCCAGCUUAGGGUGCGGUGGGCAGAGCCAUCCUGCAGCUCUGAGAUCCACGAAGUGGAGGUGGGAGUAGCGCCAGGCUCCACGGCGUUGGAGCUCUCACAACUUGAGCUCAAUUUUAUUCCGGAGCCAUGACCUGCAGCACAUUGGUGACCAGAAGACGCCCAAAGGGUUUCCCAGAGGAAGAGAGAGAAUUUGGACAAAUGAAUGAGGAACAACGCUCUCCUGAGGGUUUUCUUUAAGGGGCGAGGAUCACUGCCGCUAGCUCCUUUGAAAGCAAAGUUAAGAGGCAGCGCAGGAAGGCACAGCAGGAAGGCUCAUGGUUAGACUACAGAGAAGGAAGCAGCCACUGCUGGGGACCUACCCUGUGCUGGUCACUGACAAGCUGUCUCAUUAAACCUUCCCGGACCCUCAACCCCUCCUAGUAUCUUAUCCUCAUUUUACAGAUGAGAAGACUGCGGCCAAGAGAGAAAUCACAUUCUCCUCUCAUUGUGCUACACAGCUUGUAAGCACCAAGACAAGGAAUUCUAUGAUAAAGCAAAAAGAAAAGAAAAGAAAAAAUCCUCUUCUACUUUCUUCUCGGGCCUCCCAGGAGCUGAAUCCAGAAGGGCAAGAACAAAGUAGUAAAGCAGGAAAGGGCAUUCAGAAGAGAACAGCAUGAGCAAAGGCUGCAAGGCCAGAGCACUUGGAAACUGCAAGUCCCUCAGUGUAAAGAUGAGUCUGUAGAGGAGGUUGACACAAGCUUGUGAAAGACCCAGUAUGCCAGGCUAAGGGGGUGGGAACAGUGAGGGACACUGAGGGUUUUAUGGCUUAAAUUUUGACAAGUGUAUCUACAAUAUAGACAACUAAUGUAACACUCCUUUUUUUUUUUUUUUUUUUUUUUUUGAGACGGAGUCUCACUCUUUCGCCCAGGCUAGAGUUCAGUGGUGAGAUCUUGGCUCACUGCCACCUGAGCUUCCUGGGUUCAGGUGAUUCUCCUGCCUUAGCCUCCUGAGUAGCUGGGACUACAGACUGAUCCCACCACAUCUGGCUAAUUUUUUGUAUUUUUGGUAGAGACAGGGUUUCGCCAUGUUGGCCAGGCUGGUCUUGAACUCCUCAGCUCAAGUGAUCCACCUGCCUCAGCCUCCCAAAGUUCUGGGAUUACAGGGAACACUUUUUUUUAAAUUUUUUUUUUUGAGACAGAGUCUUGCUUUAUCAUCCAGGUUGGAGUGAAGUGGCUCAGUCAUAGCUCACUGCAGCCUUGACCUCCCGUACUCAAGCAAUCCUUCUGCCUCAGCCUCCUGAGUUGCUGUUAAUUUUUUUUUUUUUUUUGUAGAGACAGGGUCUCACUAUGCUGCCCAGGCUAGUCUCAAAUUUCAAGAGACCAAGGCGGGAGGAUGGCUGGGCUC
Molecule: long non-coding RNA, 1698 nt
Filed under: Homo sapiens (human)
Lineage: Eukaryota; Metazoa; Chordata; Mammalia; Primates; Hominidae
Description: HSALNT0400631
Source: RNAcentral